Molecule: ribosomal RNA, 890 nt
Filed under: uncultured bacterium
Lineage: Bacteria
Description: bacterial SSU rRNA
Rfam family: Bacterial small subunit ribosomal RNA
Source: RNAcentral
GAAUCUUCUAGCUUGCUAGAAGUGGAUUAGUGGCGCACGGGUGAGUAAUGCAUAGGUUAUGUGCCCUUUAGUCUGGGAUAGCCACUGGAAACGGUGAUUAAUACUGGAUACUCCCUACGGGGGAAAGUUUUUCGCUAAAGGAUCAGCCUAUGUCCUAUCAGCUUGUUGGUGAGGUAAUGGCUCACCAAGGCUAUGACGGGUAUCCGGCCUGAGAGGGUGAUCGGACACACUGGAACUGAGACACGGUCCAGACUCCUACGGGAGGCAGCAGUAGGGAAUAUUGCUCAAUGGGGGAAACCCUGAAGCAGCAACGCCGCGUGGAGGAUGAAGGUUUUAGGAUUGUAAACUCCUUUUGUUAGAGAAGAUUAUGACGGUAUCUAACGAAUAAGCACCGGCUAACUCCGUGCCAGCAGCCGCGGUAAUACGGAGGGUGCAAGCGUUACUCGGAAUCACUGGGCGUAAAGAGUGCGUAGGCGGGGUAAUAAGUCAGAUGUGAAAUCCUGUAGCUUAACUACAGAACUGCAUUUGAAACUGUUACUCUGGAGUGUGGGAGAGGUAGGUGGAAUUCUUGGUGUAGGGGUAAAAUCCGUAGAGAUCAAGAGGAAUACUCAUUGCGAAGGCGACCUGCUGGAACAUUACUGACGCUGAUGCACGAAAGCGUGGGGAGCAAACAGGAUUAGAUACCCUGGUAGUCCACGCCCUAAACGAUGGAUGCUAGUUGUUGCCUUGCUUGUCAGGGCAGUAAUGCAGCUAACGCAUUAAGCAUCCCGCCUGGGGAGUACGGUCGCAAGAUUAAAACUCAAAGGAAUAGACGGGGACCCGCACAAGCGGUGGAGCAUGUGGUUUAAUUCGAAGAUACGCGAAGAACCUUACCUAGGCUUGACAUUGAU